GCUGCCUUCAGAGAUGGGUUACCUUCCCCUUCCCAUUGCUGCAUGUUGGCCAGGAGACCACAGGGCUUUGUUUUUACAGAUGUGUCCCUGGGUCGAGGGUCUCCAAGUCUGCUGCUUUAGCAGCUCUCUGCAGAUGUUCUCCAGUGCUGCUCUGGGAUUACAAACUGUGGCUCCCACGUUGUUCUUCUGUUUUAUUAGUCUGGGUCUGUCAUUCUACUUAACCUAGAAAGCAAAUGAGAGAUGAGCAAGUUGGAAGGCCAAGUUUCAUGAACUCCAGGAUGGCUUGUAAUGAGCCCAAGAGGAAACCUGAGAAGUAUUUGCAGAAGUAAAUGUGGGCUCAUGCAUCAUCCACAGACGGCUGUGAGUCAGAGGAGCAUACCUGGGUCCUGACAAUACCGGACAUGUGUUCAGUUAGGACUUUGCUACCAUGGAUCAAUGCCAGCCCUGCAAAAGGACCUUCUCCUAAGAGCUUGCUUUCUUGCAUAUUUGGAAGAAAUUGUAGGAAAAAGAAAAAGGAAAAAAACAAAAACAAACAAACAAAAAAAACCAGCUUGUGCUUGGUGAUGGAGCAGCACUGCAAAGUAGCUUGGUCCAGCAUUUCAUCAAUGCUUGGAUGAACAGAACUACAAUACCUGUUCUGCACUGGUUGCUUUCACACCUUUUUUGCGGAGCUGGAUCAUACUCUUUCUAUUCACUUUAUUAUCACUGAUAUUUAAGGUGAAUCUGUUCUUUCCCUUCUGAUCUUACUGAAAUCACCUCCAGUGAAACGCUUCCAAGUGUAUAUGAAGCCUUGGUUGGAUUAUUCUAUCUCUAGCACACAACAUUGACUUGACUGAGUUAUUAGUGUUAGAUACAGAAACUUGCAACUACUAUAUGGAGCACCUGCAUAUAAUGGAAAGAACAUGGUAAAGUCAAGAAUAGAAAACAAGUUUUGUACGAUACCUGACACAAAACUUGCUGCUGCCACCACGAGCAGUGCAACCCACAUAGAUUUAACAACUCUUUGACCAAAACUGCUCUGGGUGACAUAGGGAUUUUUUUCUCUGUUAGAAGGUAGCAAUUUUUUGUGUUGUGUGUGUACAAUAUCACUUUCCCCUUUCUAGAACCCACAAAUGCAACUAAAACUUUAGUUUCUGAGUUGCUUAAAAGUUUUCAUUCCUUUCUGUGCUCUAGCAGCUUUCCAGAGUACCUUCCUCCUUUUGUUUUUUUGUGUUUUCUUAUUGAAGUUUUUCAAGGAAUGACAGACAGCAAGAAAGGGUGAUUGUUUCUUUCUCUUGCUGAAGUUUCUUCAUCUCCAUAAACUUUUACUUGGCCUGUGACAGGGCAUAGUGAAAAGGCACAGUGAAAAGAAGGAAGCAUGGUUUCACUGUAAACCUAUUUGGGGCCUUUUGGGGACAACACUAAGCACCUGAAUCAGUGACCUCACUGAAGGGAUCAGCCUUGCACUGAGCAGACACUCACAGAAUCAGAGAAUCAUGAAAUCGUCUGAUUUAGAAAAGACCUUCAGGAUCACCUUGUACCAGGACUCUGUAAGGAAACUGGUGACUACCCCAAAAAGUGUAGCAUUGUCUUAAAGCAUCUCCUGAUUGUGCUCUGAACACUUGUGUCAUCGUCACUGAUAAAUGGUGUUCUUAGCAUUCUCAUAUUUGUAGUGCUAGAGGUUACUCUGUAGUGUUUUGUUUAUUUAUUUUUAUUUUUUUCUUGUUUCUGUAUAUGUUUGUUUGUUUGUUAGUUUUUGACUUGUGGAUCCUUCCUUCUGAGUUUUGAAGUCCACCAAAACAUUCCUGGAUGUGUGUGAUAACCAAGCAGCCUAUAUCUCACAUUUAUGAUCACCAGAUUUUAUCUGCUCUGACAGACGGAACCUUCUGUAUUUGGGCUGAUAAGAAGGCAGAGGCAUCAAAAUCCAUAUGGGGGGAAUAAAACUCUCUUCCAAAUGGCUGGCACAUGUACUUGGCUGCCUGCAGGCAACCAAGUCCUUGGUUUUAGAGUAACAGCUGGAUUAUUUUAUCUGUUUAGCAAGGAAGGACCAAACCACAAAAACUGCAGCCAGUGCUGAGAAUCUGCAAGUGGAUUGCACUAUAAAACUCUUUGGUUACGUUUUUACGAGAGAAAAAAAAAACGGUGGAAAAUUAAUUAGGAAAAUAUCCACGUUCCAUUAACUAGUUUGGUCACUCAUCAGGUGGUUUAUUUAUAAGCACUGCUGGCAGUAUUUUCUGUUGGAUCUUGGUCUUGGAGGACUAGGUCAUGCCCACAGCAGCUGUGUGUGGGCUGAUAUAUAUUGAUAUAAGAAUAUGGGCGCAAAUUCAGCUGCCUUUUUUCUAUGAGCUUUUCUGUCACAUUUGACCCUAGAUAUUGCAGUUACUGUAGUUAAAUAGCAGGGAUGUCACUAUAUAUUUAAUACUGAAGUUAAUUUAUGGAGAUCAUUCACUAUUAAUUCUCACUGUUUUAUUAGAGUGCCAAUUGCACAUAUUAAAAAACUUACAUUUAACUGAACGUUUCUGUGAGGCACAGCUCUCCGUGGGCCUCGGAAGGGGGUCAGAGAAGCUGACACCUAUGAGUUGGUGGAUAUCUGGGGGUCACUUGACUUGUUUUUCCAGAUUUUGCAUCAAAACCUGUGCUUAGCUUCCUUGGUGCGCUGGAGUUCCCCCAGGAGGUGGUGUGACCGUGCUCAUGCAGGCUGGUGAAUUCCUCGCUCGUCAGAGUUGCCUGAGUGUGGGUGGGCUCCUGAGCUUGCAGUGGGACGAUGCACUCCAUGCCUGCUUUCAGGCUCAGAUAAGAAGCUUCUGCUUCUUUUCGAUGAUAUGUUUAAUUCUGUGUGAUUUAUGUACACAUAAAUAUAUAUAACAUG
Cygnus olor (mute swan) is the source of this 2848-nucleotide long non-coding RNA. RefSeq lists it as uncharacterized. The record is from RefSeq and is a predicted model, not a curated record. NCBI's taxonomy places the organism in Eukaryota, Metazoa, Chordata, Aves, Anseriformes, Anatidae. The transcript is spliced from 2 exons.